This 253-nucleotide ribosomal RNA is filed under the name uncultured bacterium. RNAcentral's name for it is "partial 16S ribosomal RNA". It matches the Rfam family "Bacterial small subunit ribosomal RNA", at positions 524 to 776 of the family's 1533-position model. The record is from RNAcentral.
UACAGAGACCUCAAACGUUGUCCGGAUUUAUUGGGCGUAAAGGGUCCGUAGGCGGUAUGACACGUCGGUGGUCAAAUUUCGGGGCUCAACCCCGGAACUGCCAUCGAUACGGUCAAACUAGAGCUCGGGAGAGGUAAGCGGAAUUGCCGGUGUAGUAGUAAAAUGCGUUAAUAUCGGCAAGAACACCAAAUGCGAAGGCAGCUUACUGGAACGAUGCUGACGCUCAGGGACGAAAGCGUGGGGAGCGAAAGGG